This 301-nucleotide ribosomal RNA is filed under the name uncultured bacterium. RNAcentral's name for it is "partial 16S ribosomal RNA". It matches the Rfam family "Bacterial small subunit ribosomal RNA", at positions 509 to 807 of the family's 1533-position model. The record is from RNAcentral.
CAGUAGCCGCGGGAACACGAAGGGGGCUAGCGUUGCUCGGAAUGACUGGGCGUAAAGGGCGCGUAGGCGGCGGCCAAAGUCAGGCGUGAAAUUCCCGGGCUCAACCUGGGGGCUGCGUUUGAUACUUGGUUGCUUGAGUGGGGAAGAGGGUCGUGGAAUUCCCAGUGUAGAGGUGAAAUUCGUAGAUAUUGGGAAGAACACCGGUGGCGAAGGCGGCGACCUGGUCCUUUACUGACGCUGAGGCGCGAAAGCGUGGGGAGCAAACAGGAUUAGAUACCCCGGUAGUCCCUGUCUCUUAUAC